Molecule: ribosomal RNA, 658 nt
Filed under: uncultured bacterium
Lineage: Bacteria
Description: bacterial SSU rRNA
Rfam family: Bacterial small subunit ribosomal RNA
Source: RNAcentral
UACACAGUAUGCGGCCAAGCGAAAGUAUUAAGUGAGCCACCUGGGGAGUACGUUGGCAACAGUGAAACUCAAAGGAAUUGACGGGGGCCCGCACAAGCGGAGGAACAUGUGGUUUAAUUCGAUGAUACGCGAGGAACCUUACCUGGACUUAAAUGCAGAGUGACAGACCCUGAAAGGGGUUUUUCUUCGGACGUUUUGCAAGGUGCUGCAUGGUUGUCGUCAGCUCGUGCCGUGAGGUGUCGGGUUAAGUCCCAUAACGAGCGCAACCCCUACCGUUAGUUACCAUCAGGUUAUGCUGGGGACUCUAGCGGGACUGCCACCGUAAGGUGCGAGGAAGGUGGGGAUGACGUCAAAUCAGCACGGCCCUUAUGUCCAGGGCUACACACGUGUUACAAUGGCCAGUACAAAGGGCAGCUACCUGGUGACAGGAUGCUAAUCUCGAAAGCUGGUCUCAGUUCGGAUCGAAGUCUGCAACCCGACUUCGUGAAGCUGGAUUCGCUAGUAAUCGCGCAUCAGCCAUGGCGCGGUGAAUACGUUCCCGGGCCUUGUACACACCGCCCGUCAAACCAUGGAAGUUGGGGGUGCCUGAAGUCUGUGACCGCAAGGAGCGGCCUAGGGUAAAACUAAUGACUGGGGUUAAGUCGUAACAAGGUAGCCG